UACGAAGGGGGCUAGGCGUUGUUCGGAAUCACUGGCGUAAAGCGCACGUAGGCGGAUUGUUAAGUCGGGGGUGAAAUCCUGAGGCUCAACCUCAGAACUGCCUUCGAUACUGGCGAUCUUGAGUCCGGAAGAGGUUGGUGGAACAGCUAGUGUAGAGGUGAAAUUCGUAGAUAUUAGCUAGAACACCAGUGGCGAAGGCGGCCAACUGGUCCGGAACUGACGCUGAGGUGCGAAAGCGUGGGGAGCAAACAGGGAUUAAGAAACCCUGAGAGU
This 273-nucleotide ribosomal RNA is filed under the name uncultured bacterium. Its description in RNAcentral is "partial 16S ribosomal RNA". It matches the Rfam family "Bacterial small subunit ribosomal RNA", at positions 524 to 794 of the family's 1533-position model. The record is from RNAcentral.